Pistacia vera is the source of this 677-nucleotide long non-coding RNA. RefSeq lists it as uncharacterized. The transcript has 6 exons. NCBI's taxonomy places the organism in Eukaryota, Viridiplantae, Streptophyta, Magnoliopsida, Sapindales, Anacardiaceae. The record is from RefSeq and is a predicted model, not a curated record.
UAUUAUUUUAUUUUUCCAUUGAUGGCCAUCUCCUUAACAGGUCUGCAUACUGUGAUGCUCAAUUACCACCUGAAAACCUAAAAGAAUUCUUGCCACGUCUACUUCCGGUUUUGCUUUCAAAUAUGUUUUAUGCUGAUGAUGAUGAGUCACUUCUGGAAGCCGAGGAGGAUGAGUCUCUCCCAAAUAGGGACUAGGAUAUAAACCUCGUUUUCAUUCAUCACGGUUUCACGGAUCAGAAAACUUGGAAGAUGAUGACGAUGACAUAGUUAAUGUAUGGAAUUUGCGAAAGUGUAGGGCAACGGCGCUUGAUGUUCUCUCAAACGUGUUUGGGGAUGAGAUUCUUCCAACUUUGAUGUCUAUUAUUGAGGCUAAGUUGGCAACUAGGGGCGAUGCAGCCUGGAAAGACAGGAAGCAGCUGUUUUGGCUCUUGGUGCCGUAGCAAGGUUGGAUUAAUAGCCUUUACCCUCAUUUAUCUGAGGUAAUCUUUUGUUGGGUGAUCUUGAUUUUUGAAUCUGAUUACAAUUGGCUUGUGCCUAAUUGGUGUGAAUACAAUGCUUAAAUCUUUUUUUUUUUUUAAAAGAAAAAAAGAAAAUUAGAGCUAUGCUUAACACCAGUUUGUUACAUUCAUAUUCCCCUUUAGACAUUGCUUCUGCAUUAUUCCUUAAUUUUUUUCGUCU